UGGUAGUGACUUCCCAAGUGAUGUUACAUUCUAAAUUCAUCACUGGAAAGGCAAUAUCAUU
This 61-nucleotide microRNA precursor is filed under the name Blattella germanica (German cockroach). RNAcentral describes it as "Bge-Novel-21_pre stem-loop". The record is from RNAcentral. Lineage: Eukaryota; Metazoa; Arthropoda; Insecta; Blattodea; Blattellidae.